Small nucleolar RNA from Nerophis ophidion (straightnose pipefish), 129 nucleotides. RefSeq annotates it as small nucleolar RNA SNORA14. The transcript has a single exon. The record is from RefSeq and is a predicted model, not a curated record. Lineage: Eukaryota; Metazoa; Chordata; Actinopteri; Syngnathiformes; Syngnathidae.
UUGCAUCUUUUUAAACCCCCCAGCUGCCUUGUGGCUUUUGGGACCAGAAAUGGUGCUAGAUCAAUCUUAGAACAUCCAAAACUGAGAGCCACUUCAGACGCUCUUGGUUAUUUCACCUCUAAGACACAA